GUUUUGAUAUGUGCAUAAUUUUAAUUUACUAUACUAUAUUAUAUACACUAUGCAUUCAAUCAUUGACGAACAGUCCCAAACCGACUAUACUGUUCUGCACAAGUUUAUCAUGCAUGCAGUCCUGCCAUAUACUGUGUUCCUUGCGCACUAAAUCAAGUUUUCACACUUAAGCAUCCAUAACAUAGCAGUGAGAUUUGUAACUUUCUACCCGUUUCUGGUAAGCACAUUUAUUUUCCUAGGCAUGUUUUUCACAUUAUAUUUACAGUUCAAAUUCAUUUUUUUUACAGUUCAAAUUCAUCUUUUUUACAGUUCGAAUUCAAUUGAAACUUCAAGAUAACUUUCGAAAACAAUACAUGUAUCUGACAGUUUUGUAUUUUCAAUGUGAAUAAAAGUUGGUUUGCAAAACAUCACCGUCAUUUAUAUCUAGGUCUUAUUUAGAAGAAGUGACGGUAACCACUUAUCCCAUAUACAUUGACAAUGAGACAACUUUCUUUUAGACACAAAAAUGAUGUUGAAUUAAUCAAGUUUAGGUCACCGUAUGCCUUAAACAAGGAGAAAAACACACAAACCGCAUGAAAGCAAGCUAUAACUGGGUCCUAAAUUAUAAAUGUAAAACAAUUCAAACAAGAAAACUACCUGCCUAUUUUAUGUUCAAAACGCAUAUGGUAUAAAGCAAUCAAAGACAACCAUGGAAUUACAAGCCUGUGACUCGGGAAAUGGACUGAGUCAAAGUGUUGUCGCUGACACAAACAGUACAACAAAAGUACAAAUAAUAAAAAAUGAUGAAUAAACCUUAACUCGUCCUUUGACAGAGCCUGUAUAGUAAAUUCGCGAUUUGUGCCAAAACUUGUAUCAUAGUUAAAAUUAUCCAUUAAAUAUGAUAAAUAUACAUGUAUUCGCAGUUUACUAUGAAAUCCACUAUCACUGAACUAGUAUACAUAUUUAUUAAGGGGCCAGCUAAAGGACACCACCGGAUGCGGGAGUUUCUCGCUUCAUUGAAGACCCAUUGAGGCCUUCGGCUGUUUUCUGCUCUAUGGUCGGGUUGUUGUCGCUUGGAAUUUGUAUGAACUUUUCAUGUUUAAAUCCCCCCCUUUUUUGUUUUUGUUUUACCAUAUAUGUUUUCUUAUAUAACUAAGAAGUGUAUAAAGUUUGAUGCAGUUAUAAUACUUCGUUUUUGAGAUAUGGCGCGACAUGUUAAAAAAAAACACAUUCCUGUUUCACUUACAUUUUCUGUAACUCAAAAAGAUUUAAUUUGAUUUUCACUAAAAGGUUUACAGAUCGUUUGGCCAUUAUAAGAAAUAACUAUGUUAAAUUUUAAGAAAAUGAGAUAAGCUGUCCUGAAGUUACGGUGCGACAUGUUCAUAGUGGACAGACGGAUAGAUAGACGGACGGACGGACAGAAUGACUGAUAGACGGAGGAACGGACGGAUGGAAGGAGGGGGUGUAUACAAUAAUACGGCCUGUCAAAAUUGGGAUGGGCGUGUAAAAACGCAAAGAAAUGAAAAAAAAAUCGUAAUUAAGGUCAAUAAGUUUUAUUAGGAUAUCGGCCAAGUCGAUUUAUUUGUAUAUUUGUCUGCCUUAUCAUUUUCCUAUAUAACUUUUACAUAUAUUUGAAAAAAAAUGUAUAGAAAUCGAUAAAAAGAACUUGAUAUUCGGCAUUUAUUAUGAGAAACAUAAUCCAAAUGACAUAAUCCGAUUGCCCGGGUGUCCCUGUUUUCUCAUUUCUUAAAAUAUUUUAAUUCGGUAUACACUUUAUAAGAUAAGUGGCGAAUCUAGAUGACGUAUAUGUUGCACGCCCCGACCCCACCUUUGGUUGCAAAAAUUUUAUUGAUUCCUGUAUUUAAAGAUUUUGUAAAGCAAAAAAUAAUCAAAAUAUUGUUCGACUCGCUACGCUCGGCGGUAUGUAAAAGUGUUUCGAAUACGCCCACUUUGAAAUAAACUGAAUCCGUCUGUCCGUAUAUAUUGUCAAAAUAUAUUGUCCAACAUCAGUGUACGAUCAUCAUAACACAAUGGCGACAGUGCAGACUGUUUUUUUUUUAAUAAUGUUAACAAAAUAUUUAUUAUUGAAUUUUAUCGAUGACCUGAGACUAUUAUACUUAUUUGUACAUAGCAGUAUAGUGAUAAAUAAAUUUUAUUUUAAUGCAUGGUAGUUGUAAUCCUACAUUCAUUUUCUAUGUCGAUUAUGCAUGCAUAUACAUUUGUCUUAUUAUCGACGUUUAUCCUUAAGAAGAUUUAUUUUUAACGAUGGUAGAAAAGAUUACAUACAUGGAAUGAUUAGAUUACUUAUAAAGGUGUCCAUUCUUUUGUGCGAGAAAAUCAC
This 2320-nucleotide long non-coding RNA is filed under the name Mytilus galloprovincialis (Mediterranean mussel). Lineage: Eukaryota; Metazoa; Mollusca; Bivalvia; Mytilida; Mytilidae. The record is from RNAcentral.